UCCGGGGUUCGUCUGGUGCUUUGACCUUAGAUGGAGUAGAUUUCUCGUAAAGCAUCUACACUUAAAGUUCGUCUGUCUGUUCCGAAUGACCCGUGCUAUGUAAAGUCAGCGCAGACAUCAUUCAUUCCCUGACAGGAACAAAAUGGAACUGGACGAAAAUGUUUACUGUUUUGCCGAUGGCCUUCUGUGGCUGUAAACUGGUUAGGAAAAGUUUUAUUUAACGUGCGCCAUAAAGAUGCAGCGCAACCCCCGGUUUCGCUCGGCGUUGUCUAAGCUCUUUCUGUUAGGAGCCAUAUCUAGGGGAGCGUUAUGAGAGUGUUUAUCAAGGGAAGUUGGCCUUGUCUUGAAAAAAAGAUAAACUUACUUGUGUGUUUUGUCGGCCAUGAUGAAACUGCUGCAGACGACAAUAAGGAAAGCAUGAUAGGUUGGCAGGAGCAACAUCAACUGUCUCUGGGGGGCACGUGACUUUCCUCGCAUAGCAACCGAGUAAUGAGUAAGGAACCUGGGAAGAGGAAAAAUGUAACUGGCUUGCUUAAGACAGGGAAAGAAGAAAGAAAACUCAAUUAAUUUAAAAAUCAAAUUAACACCUACGA
This is a long non-coding RNA of Lingula anatina, 593 nucleotides long. RefSeq lists it as uncharacterized. Lineage: Eukaryota; Metazoa; Brachiopoda; Lingulata; Lingulida; Lingulidae. The record is from RefSeq and is a predicted model, not a curated record.